RNAcentral lists this ribosomal RNA (468 nucleotides) under uncultured bacterium. RNAcentral describes it as "partial 16S ribosomal RNA". It matches the Rfam family "Bacterial small subunit ribosomal RNA", at positions 28 to 507 of the family's 1533-position model. The record is from RNAcentral.
GACGAACGCUGGCGGCGUGCUUAACACAUGCAAGUCGAACGGAAAGGCCCUGCUUUUGUGGGGUGCUCGAGUGGCGAACGGGUGAGUAACACGUGAGUAACCUGCCCUUGACUUUGGGAUAACUUCAGGAAACUGGGGCUAAUACCGGAUAGGAGCUCCUGCUGCAUGGUGGGGGUUGGAAAGUUUCGGCGGUUCGGGAUGGACUCGCGGCUUAUCAGCUUGUUGGUGGGGUAGUUGCUUACCAAGGCUUUGACGGGUAGCCGGCCUGGGAGGGUGGACGGCCACAUUGGGACUAAGAUAGGGCGCAGACUGCUACGGGAGGCAGCAGUGGGGAAUAUUGCGCAACGGGAGGAAGCGUGAGACAAUGACGCCGCGUGCGGGAAGACGGCUUUCGGGUUGUGAACCGAUUUGGCCGGUGACGAAGCGUGAGUGACGGUAAUGGAUAAAGAAGCACCGGCUAACUACGUG